Molecule: long non-coding RNA, 541 nt
Organism: Pristis pectinata (smalltooth sawfish)
Lineage: Eukaryota; Metazoa; Chordata; Chondrichthyes; Rhinopristiformes; Pristidae
Exons: 3
Source: RefSeq, a predicted model, not a curated record
GCCUCCUUGGCCAUGGUGUCUACGUGCUUGGACCAGGACAGGCUGUUGGUGAUGUUCACUCCUAGGAACUUGAAGCUCUCAACCCUCUCGACCUCAGCACCGUUGAUGUAGGCAGGUUGCUCUCUGAGGAGUGGCUUUACUGAAGGUCAUCAUAUGUUACCAAGUAGCUAAAUAUACAGCAGGCAGACUGCCAGAGCCCUGUGGGAGAGAGGACUGGAGUGAGGGAAAGACCGAGGAGCCUGCAGAACAUGGUUUAAAGAACAAUCCGGAAUAUUUAUCUCUGAACAGGAUUGCAGGGCAAGUGAAUUCAGAGUGAAAUCACAGGUUUUUCCUGUGCACGUAAAAAAGAUGGAGAGCCAGGGAACACCAGAUGAAGCCAGCGGUCUGGAGUCAGUGACUGACACUUCCAAAGAGCAGCACACAGGCAAUGGAUCUUCACUCUCCCAAAGGGCAGAGGAGGGAGGAAGUGAGGAGAGUGCAGAACCUGAAGGAUUCAAGUUCUACCACAUGGACCUCUAUGAACCCAGGGGACGUUUGGAGA